CGGGGGGGGGCAAGCGUUGUUCGGGAAUUACUGGGGCGUAAAGGGCGCGCAGGCGGCCCGGCCAGUCCUACGUGAAAUCCCACAGCUCAACUGUGGGAACUGCGUGGGAUACUGCCAGGCUUGAGUCCCGGGAGAGGAGAGUGGAAUUCCCAGUGUAGCGGUGAAAUGCGUAGAUAUUGGGAGGAACACCGGUGGCGAAGGCGGCUCUCUGGACCGGCACUGACGCUGAGGCGCGAAAGCUAGGGGAGCAAACGGGAUUAGAUACCCCGGUAGUCCUAGCCCUAAACGAUGAGCACUUUGUGUGGCGGGUAUCGACCCCUGCCGUGCAGAAGCUAACGCAUUAAGUGCUCCGCCUGGGGAGUACGGUCGCAAAGGCUGA
This 379-nucleotide ribosomal RNA is filed under the name uncultured organism. Its description in RNAcentral is "partial 16S ribosomal RNA". It matches the Rfam family "Bacterial small subunit ribosomal RNA", at positions 525 to 897 of the family's 1533-position model. The record is from RNAcentral.